Molecule: long non-coding RNA, 524 nt
Organism: Symphalangus syndactylus (siamang)
Lineage: Eukaryota; Metazoa; Chordata; Mammalia; Primates; Hylobatidae
Source: RefSeq, a predicted model, not a curated record
UGGGACUUGCUCCUCCUUGCCUUCCACCAUGAUUGUGAGGCUUCCUCAGCCACGUGGAACUAUCCAUAAUGGAUUCCUGGGACAUUUUCAGAUCUCCUUCCAGCUUCCUCUUCGCCCUUUCCAGGUCCGCCCGCAGUUUCUUCUCCUGCUCUAAGGAACCCUCAAGCUGAGAAGACACACAGAGACAAGGGCUUGCUCUGUUGCCUGAGCUGAAAUGCAGUGGUGUGAGUAUAGCCCACUGCAUCCUCAACAAUCCUGUGCUCAAGUGAUCCUCCCUCCUCAGCCUCCCAAGUAGCUUGAACUACAAGAAAAAUAAGUGAAUGUGGAAGCUGCCAAAACACCAACCCUGAACACGGCUGACACGGUCUGGAAAGAGGAGCCCUUCUUCUUCCCGCCCUUCUUGCUUCCUCCGGAGUCGCCUGGAGACAGACACAGAAGGGCAUGUCAGAUGCAUCCCAGAGGACCCAGCAGUGGGCUUCCUGAACCACCCCUUCCCUGCCCCGAGUUCUGGUUUCCUUUUGACA